RNAcentral lists this long non-coding RNA (463 nucleotides) under Vombatus ursinus (common wombat). RNAcentral's name for it is "lncRNA (ENSVURG00010011878.1)". Lineage: Eukaryota; Metazoa; Chordata; Mammalia; Diprotodontia; Vombatidae. The record is from RNAcentral.
GAAGAGGACAAGCCAGAGAGACAGAAAGGCAGCCUUGCAGCAGCCAAGCCAGGCCCGUUCCCAGGGAGGAGUGGAGGCUUGACUCCCACCCGUGGGCUAAGUGCAGGGUGGACGAGUGUGGAGUCUAGAAGAAGACAUUGACUGCAGUGUGUGUGGGGGGUGAAUCCAAGAAGACUCCCUGGAAGCUGUGACUGAGCCCAGGAUGGGUGAACAUGGUCCCUGGGGACAGUGGGGUAGGGGUAGGCUUCUUUUUCAGUUUGGGGGGGUCAUCUCUAAGCUGCCUCUCUUUGGCCCCCGACCCCUCCCCAAUUCCUGCGCCCAGUCUCACCCUUGCUCUCUCUGUCUUUCUCUCCCCUCGUCCUUGCACUGCUGGCUCGGUGGUGUCCUGGGAGCAGAGGAGAAGCCUCGACCAAAACUCACUGCUCCUAAGAUCCCAGAAGGAGAGAAAGUCGAUUUCGAUGUA